This 12090-nucleotide long non-coding RNA is filed under the name Zea mays. Its description in RNAcentral is "long non-coding RNA (ZMAY_LNC002970)". Lineage: Eukaryota; Viridiplantae; Streptophyta; Magnoliopsida; Poales; Poaceae. The record is from RNAcentral.
CUAUUCCAAGCUUCAAAUAUAUAGCUCCACAAUAAAGCAUCAUCCUGUACAGUGAGUGAGUCUAUGGCUGCAACAGCUAGAGCUAGUAAUAGUCACCGGCAAUUAGUAUUGUAGCAAACAUAAGCACUGCUGCACGAGCUACAGCUACAAGCGGUGGUGGGCGCAGGAGGCAGUGCCGUCGUCGAAGUUCUGGUAGUAGCUAUGCAGGUCAUACCCAAACCUCACCGCGGUUCGCCUCGGCCGCGCCGCGCGUCUUCUCCAAGAGCGCCUCAACCUCGACAGCACAGCCGCUUCACCGCAGCAGCUGGCCGGCGGCCGCCGCUCCUGGCGUGGACGAGCCUCCCGCCCAAGCCGCUGCCCCCGGUGUACGGGCCUAGCAGAGACGCCGCCGCCAUGAUCGUUCACUCGGUCGGUUCACAGUUCUCACAGGUCACAGGUCACGGACGCUCUUGCCACUAACUAACUAGCUAGCUAGGCGCUCUGUCUGCUUCGAGCUGGAGUACGUACACUACAGUAAAAGAGGAAACGUUCGACGGCCACGUUAUAUCCGACGGCACCCUAGGCCACCAUCGGAUAUAAGUUUAUUUCCGACGGCCAACAGCGGCCGUCAAAAAUAACAGCAAACAGCCGACGGCUGUCAGAUUGGCCGUCGGACAUAACCUUAUCUCCCACGGCCCGUCUAACAGCCGUCGGCCUCCUGGGCACCGUCGGAAAUAAGGAGAUUUAACCGACGCCACCCGAGCGCGCAUCGUUUCAUUCUAACGUGCGCAGCCAUAUGCACCCAAGCCGCCGCCGUGACGCCGUCGCCGUGACUACGCCGCCGCCGCCAGGCACCACCGCCCAAGCACAGCCCGUGCCCGACGACCUCUCCUCCCGCCCCGACGUGCAGUCCGAGCACGACGCCACCGAAGCCACCCCGACGAAGCCCGACGCCACCGGAGCCGCCCCGAUGCCACCGGAGUCGCCCCGACGCAGCCCGCGGCCGCCGUAGCCUCUGCCCCCGUCCCCGACGCCACCGGCGCCCGCCCCGACCCCUCCGGAGCUCGCUUCACCGGUUCAUCGUCCGACAAAGUGAGCAAUUUUAAAAAUUUUAGUAUAAUUUUGUGUAUAAAUAUACAUUGUUUGCUAGUAGCAAUGUUUAGUUUUGUUAUGUCCGACGGCUUAAUUUAAUUAUGCAAUUAAAUUAGCUUGUUUUAAUUUAUUUAUUAGUGGCUAUAUAAUUUAAACUUUUAAUUUCCGAGGGUAAUUAUUAAGCCCUCAGAAAUAAGGUUGUUUUAUUUGAUUUAGGGUCCCGUGAAAUGAUUUUUUAUAGUGCUAUUGUAUUAGUUUGGUUAAUUAGUGGCUAUUGUAUUAGUGUGGUUAAUUAGUAAUCAUAACUAAUUAAGUUAACGAAACCUAGGCGUCGCCCGUUUCGGCCCAACACACCUUACAUGCGACGCAUGUGAGGUAUGUUGGGCCGGAAUUGUCCCUUUAUUGGACAGCCUCGGGGUGACCGACAGAGUCCGUGUUUAUGACAAAGGCAUGUGCUCCUGCUUAGUUUCGGCAGCAUAACCCCUCUGUUCUCCAAUUGCACCAUUUUUAGGCGUGCGAUUGGAGAACAGCGGGGUUAUGCUGCCGAAAUUUCGCACGACCACAUGUCUUGUCAUAAACACGGGCUCGUCGGUCACGCCUGGGUGGGUUUAGGACCUAUCCUUUCCUACAGAUGUAGGGGCGUGAUUUCUUCGUAAAAACGGAUGGUCCGUGCAUUACUUAUCUAAUUAAGUUAACGUCUCGUAUCUAGUAUGGAGGAGAAUCGUCGAUGGAUGUAUGAAGGUUGGAAGAAAAGAGGUGCUCUAUCAAGUGAGUGGGUUGCCAAGACUGAUGCUUUUCUCGACCAUGCUUUUGCUCGGUCAGAGACUGGAACCGAUGUUAGGUGCCCUUGUAGCAAGUGUCGUAACAUUAAUUUCCUUGACAGGAGGACUAUGUCGAUACAUAUUUGCAAGAACGGUUAUAUGUCAGGCUAUGAGGUGUGGGUGCACCACGGUGAGGAUCCACCUCCUCGUAUUGUAUCGGAAGUUCAGUCACAUGAAGAGGAGGACUACGAUAGGAUGGAAGAGAUGUUUGACGAUGUACGCCAUGAGCUUCUAACCGUCGAUUCGGAGAACCCCGGUCAACCCACCGAGUUUGAGGAUCCAGCUACACCUGAGGUUCAGAAGUUCUUCGAGCUCCUUAAAGCUGCCGAAGAGCCGUUGUAUGAGCACACAAAAGUGACCGUGUGCUGCAGCUGUAGCUUCUGAAGAUACUGUGCAAAACGAAGCCUCCCAUGCCAUAGCUUUAUAAGCCCGGAUGCUGGGAGCAUUCCCGACACGCGUCGACCGAAGACGCCACCCGGACCCACCAGCACGCACUAUCACGUACAUGGUGACGAGGCAAUCCACUACGGCGAUCAUUCGAAAGGUCCAAGCAGCUUCAUUUCAUGCAUGCUUUUGUAAGCCGCCGUCGUGCUCGUGCAGUCGAAAGAAUCAAAGAAAGACAACCGUCGACCACCAACAAUGGAAGCAUGUGCACUUGCUUUAGUGACGACUAGCUAGAGGGAUGAGAGAGGUCGGCCAUGGCAACCGGCGACACGGCGGCACCUGAGCUGCUUCCUGCCCAUCCUGUGCCGAUAAGGUCGGCGGCUUCCUGCCCGUCCUGCCGCUGGAUCAUGCCACGUGCACAAUGUGUUUCAGUUGCCUGUGGCGCAGUCGACCUAAUCGACAUGCAUGCGGCCGAGGUUGGCGGGAACUCUCGGCACCCCGUCAGAUCGAGACUAGGAACCUACGACGUGUUUGGUUCGAUGUAAUGUAACGGUAUGGGAUUCCUUCGGGUAUCUGAUGUCGUUACAUGUGUUUGUUAUGAGUUCUAUUGGAAUCAGAUACAUUGGAAUCAGAUACCGCUGUAUAGAAAACUCAAACCCUCCAACCCUAGCCGGAAUCAACGCCUCGAUUCACUCGCUCAGGGCCGCUCGAGCGUUCCUCCUCCUCCUCGGACGCCAGUGCCGCCGCCACCCAGGCGUCCAUCCUCCUCGGACGCUAGCAGCCGGCGCCAAGUCUUCGCUGCCGUCCAGGUAACAAAUCUCCUAGAGUCCGUUCUCUCUGAAUCUCGAAUUUGCCCAGAGUCCAUCUCUCUGAAUCUCCUAGAGUCCAUCUCUCCGAAUCUCCGAAUCUCUGGUUUUGGUUCGUCGGAGUUCUAGAUCCAGUGUAAUGGCAUCCGCUGCUGCACGCUAAGUCUGACACCGGCACGGGACGACACUGGGCGUGCUCGCAUCCGGCGGUCCUGAACCCCCAGAAUCCCACCACGAAGGAGGCUUUAUCUGUAGUGAUGCUGGUCCUCGCAUCCGGUUUCCUAUAGUGCUGCUGGUCUCCAGUGCUUACUAGAGUAGCUUGCAUCGGUUGCGUCUCUGGUUGAAUAGUUUGCUGACGGGCACCGGUAUUCAGCGAUGGAGGAUCCAUUUUUCAUCUGUGCACACAAAUGUCAAAUGAUUAAACAUGCAUUUACUGUAUGACGAAAGCAGUUGUAUGUCAAAUGAUUAAACAUGCAUUUACAGUACAAGAACGGUAGAAGAGCUGGACCUGUGAAUUAUUGAGUAACGUUCGACCUUGAUUAAGUAUACCACGCACAAUGAUAUCCAGUUGACUGUAUCUCCGAAUCCAGUUGACUGUAUGAUCCAUACAUCAGUUAUUUGAUUCAUUUUAUCUCUAUGCUCUGUUUAAUUUAUUUGAUGUGCACAAUGAUAUCCAGAUUUAUAUGAAACUCAUUUGUUGAUCUCUAGAUUUAUCCUCAAGAACUCGAUGAAGAAAUAUGGCAUUUAGGGGUAUCUUGAGUUCUCUCGUUGUCACGUACUAUUAUGUCUGGCUGCUCAUGGGAUUAGCAUAUAGAAGAAAAUGUUUGAGAAUAGAAAGAAGGUUAAGAAAUAGGGAGCGUAGGAUGGAGAAUUUAAAUGAACUCAUUCAUGAGACUGAUAGAAAAUGUAUUAGUGAGCUUCUUAUGGAUAGAAGAACUUUCUUUAUUUUGUGUGAGAUGCUUAGAGAUGUUGGUGGGCUAAAGGCCACACGCAAUAUGACCAUAGAGGAGAUAGUGGCUCAUUUUUUGUAAACAUUGGCUCAUCAUUUGAAGAACCGAACAAUUGGAAGGUUUUUCUUUCGAAGCGGCGAGACAGUUAGUAGACAGUUCAACUUAUGCCUUCUAGCUGUUCUAAAGUUGCAACAUUUGCUUCUUAAGACCCCUGAGCCAAUUCCAGAGAAUAGCACUGAUAAUACCUGGAAAACCUUUAAGGUAAAUACAUAAGACCUAUAAGGUUCUUUAGUUUUUCUUCAACUUUAAAUAGACACAUUGAAGUGAUAUUUCUUUUAUGAAAUGUCUGUAGAAUUGUUUGGGUGCAUUAGACGGAACCGCUAUCAAGGUAACUGUGCCAACACAUCUAAAAGGAAGAUAUAGGUCAAGGAAAGCGGACAUUGUGACAAAUGUAUUGGGUGUUUGUGCACCCGAUAUGCAAUUCAUCUAUAUGCUACCUGGUUGGGAGGGUUCAGCGCAUGAUGGUCGUGUGCUGCGUGAUGCUAUCUCGAGGCCAAAUGGAUUGCGUGUCCCUCAAGGCGAGUUUUAUUUCAAUAACUUCCAUUUGGUUUGGUGGUAUAGUGUUUUAAGUGUGUAUAUUAACUUGAAAAUAUCCUUUUUAGGUUGUUAUUAUCUUGUUGAUGCGGGUUAUACAAACGCCAAUGGAUUUCUAGCACCUUAUCGAGGUCAACGAUACCAUUUGGGUGGUUGGACAGCACAGAAUCCACCACAUAGUGCUGAGGAGUAUUUCAAUAUGUGUCAUGCUCGAGCAAGAAAUAUUAUAGAGAGGGCUUUUGGAAGGCUUAAAGGGCGAUGGGUGAUUCUUAGAUCCCCUUCAUAUUUUCCUACAAAGACGCAAUGUCGUAUAAUAAUGGCAUGUGCCCUUUUGCACAAUCUAAUUUUGCAAAAAAAUGUCUAGAGACCCUAUGGAAAGUGAGGAACAAUCGGUGGUAGAUUCUGAAAUGCCUAAGGGAGAAGUUGGUGAACCAGAAUUUAUUAUGGCUAUCUCCACAACAAAUGCGUGGAGUACUUUUCGUGACACUCUUGCGUAGGGGAUGUAUAAUGCUUAUAGGGCUUCUCAUUGAUUAUUUCAUGGUACUUUUGAUGCUUAAGUACUUUUCAUGGCUCGAUUACUAUUUUUUACUAUAUAUGUGUUUAUGACUUGUCAUCAUUUGUAUGCAGAAUGGACAUUUUGGAGGGCUCUAUUGCUGUUCGUGGUAGGGGGAAAAACAAAAGGAAGUGGAUUCCUGUUGAAGAUGAUGAACUGAUCAAAGCAUUGGUUGAUGUUUCUUUGGAUCCGAGGUGGAGGAGUGAUGGGAGUUUCAAGAAUGGCUACACUUCAGUACUUGAAGCUCGCCUCGCUGAAAAGCUACCUGAUUCAAAAAUUUCUGCAACUCCUCAUAUCGAGUCAAGGUUAAGAUACUUCAAGACAAAGUAUUCUGCUUUGGAGCAGAUGUUGAACAAGAGUGGGUUCACAUGGGAUCCGACCAAGAAGAUGAUUCAUUGCGAGAAACAACAAUAUGAGACACAUUGCAAGGUACUUUCAUGAAUAGUUUAACAAGAUGAUUCAUGAAUAGCACUUGACAGUACUGUUGUUACGUUUUAAUGAAUAGCAUGAAUGAUGCCACAGUUUUCAUUAUGGAUACUUAUACCUCUCUCAAGCACUUCAUCUGUGAGCUGAUACAGUUACAUUAUUACGGAUUCUUUUCAUGUGCAAUAUUAAUAAUUACUUUGCACUAUUUUUUGGUGAAUGAUGAGUGUGUUGUUGUUCAGAUAGAAAAUGGUGUCACAUUAGCUAUAUAGUAUGUGAGUGAAUCGCUCUGCAGGCGAGCGAGUACUGUGUAGGUGCUCUGUAGCCGUAUGGAUACAGGCUUUUGCUUGCAGCCUUGAACCUUGGCCAGUAAAGAAUGAUCACAAGGGCUGCACUUUUCUCCGCGAGAAAGAAACGUUGCUUCCCCUGGUUCGCACUGAAGCACCUCCACCUUUGUUUCCUCCUCCCAUGCAUUGAUGUGUACAAUUUGGGUGUCAUCGAUCUGUUUACUCUUGUUCAACAUCUGCUCCAAAGCAGAAUACUUUGUCUUGAAGUAUCUUAACCUUGACUCGAUAUGAGGAGUUGCAGAAAUUUUUGAAUCAGGUAGCUUUUCAGCGAGGCGAGCUUCAAGUACUAAAGUGUAGCCAUUCUUGAAACUCCCAUCACUCCUCCACCUCGGAUCCAAAGAAACAUCAACCAAUGCUUUGAUCAGUUCAUCAUCUUCAACAGGAAUCCACUUCCUUUUGUUUUCCCCCUACCACGAACAGCAAUAGAGCCCUCCAAAAUGUCCAUUCUGCAUACAAAUGAUGACAAGUCAUAAACACAUAUAUAGUAAAAAUAGUAAUCGAGCCAUGAAAAGUACUUAAGCAUCAAAAGUACCAUGAAAUAAUCAAUGAGAAGCCCUAUAAGCAUUAUACAUCCCCUGCGCAAGAGUGUCACGAAAAGUACUCCACGCAUUUGUUGUGGAGAUACCCAUAAUAAAUUCUGGUUCACCAACUUCUCCCUUAGGCAUUUCAGAAUCUACCACCGAUUGUUCCUCACUUUCCAUAGGGUCUCUAGACAUUUUUUUGCAAAAUUAGAUUGUGCAAAAGGGCACAUGCCAUUAUUAUACGACAUUGCGUCUUUGUAGGAAAAUAUGAAGGGGAUCUAAGAAUCACCCAUCGCCCUUUAAGCCUUCCAAAAGCCCUCUCUAUAAUAUUUCUUGCUCGAGCAUGACACAUAUUGAAAUACUCCUCAGCACUAUGUGGUGGAUUCUGCGCUGUCCAACCACCCAAAUGGUAUCGUUGACCUCGAUAAGGUGCUAGAAAUCCAUUGGUGUUUGUAUAACCCGCAUCAACAAGAUAAUAACAACCUAAAAAGGAUAUUUUCAAGUUAAUAUACACACUUAAAACACUAUACCACCAAACCAAAUGGAAGUUAUUGAAAUAAAACUCGCCUUGAGGGACACGCAAUCCAUUUGGCCUCGAGAUAGCAUCACGCAGCACACGACCAUCAUGCGCUGAACCCACCCAACCAGGUAGCAUAUAGAUGAAUUGCAUAUCGGGUGCACAAACACCCAAUACAUUUGUCACAAUGUCCGCUUUCCUUGACCUAUAUCUUCCUUUUAGAUGUGUUGGCACAGUUACCUUGAUAGCGGUUCCGUCUAAUGCACCCAAACAAUUCUACAGACAUUUCAUAAAAGAAAUAUCACUUCAAUGUGUCUAUUUAAAGUUGAAGAAAAACUAAAGAACCUUAUAGGUCUUAUGUAUUUACCUUAAAGUUUUUCCAGGUAUUAUCAGUGCUAUUCUCUGGAAUUGGCUCAGGGGUCUUAAGAAGCAAAUGUUGCAACUUUAGAACAGCUAGAAGGCAUAAGUUGAACUGUCUACUAACUGUCUCGCCGCUUCGAAAGAAAAACCUUCCAAUUGUUCGGUUCUUCAAAUGAUGAGCCAAUGUUUACAAAAAAUGAGCCACUAUCUCCUCUAUGGUCAUAUUGCGUGUGGCCUUUAGCCCACCAACAUCUCUAAGCAUCUCACACAAAAUAAAGAAAGUUCUUCUAUCCAUACGAAGCUCACUAAUACAUUUUCUAUCAGUCUCAUGAAUGAGUUCAUUUAAAUUCUCCAUCCUACGCUCCCUAUUUCUUAACCUUCUUUCUAUUCUCAAACAUUUUCUUCUAUAUGCUAAUCCCAUGAGCAGCCAGACAUAAUAGUACGUGACAACGAGAGAACUCAAGAUACCCCUAAAUGCCAUAUUUCUUUAUCGAGUUCUUGAGGAUAAAUCUAGAGAUCAACAAAUGAGUUUCAUAUAAAUCUGGAUAUCAUUGUGCACAUCAAAUAAAUUAAACAGAGCAUAGAGAUAAAAUGAAUCAAAUAACUGAUGUAUGGAUCAUACAGUCAACUAGAUUCGGAGAUACAGUCAACUGGAUAUCAUUGUGUGUGGUAUACUUAAUCAAGGUCGAACGUUACUCAAUAAUUCACAGGUCCAGCUCUUCUACCGUUCUUGUACUGUAAAUGCAUGUUUAAUCAUUUGACAUACAGCUGCUUUCGUCAUACAGUAAAUGCAUGUUUAAUCAUUUGACAUUUGUGUGCACAGAUGGAAAAUGGAUCCUCCAUCGCUGAAUACCGGUGCCCGUCAGCAAACUAUUCAACCAGAGACGCAACCGAUGCAAGCUACUCUAGUAAGCACUGGAGACCAGCAGCACUAUAGGACACCGGAUGCGAGGACCAGCAUCAGUACAGAUAAAGCCUCCUUCGUGGUGGGAUUCUGGGGGUUCAGGACCGCCGGAUGCGAGCACGCCCAGUGUCGUCCCGUGCCGGCGUCCCCCGCCGGCGUCAGACUUAGCGUGCAGCAGCGGAUGCCAUUACACUGGAUCUAGAACUCCGACGAACCAAAACCAGAGAUUCGGAGAUUCGGAGAGAUGGACUCUAGGAGAUUCAGAGAGAUGGACUCUGGGCAAAUUCGAGAUUCAGAGAGAACGGACUCUAGGAGAUUUGUUACCUGGACGGCAGCGAAGACUUGGCACCGGCUGCUGGCGUCCGAGGAGGAUGGAGGCCUGGGUGGCGGUGGCACUGACGUCCGAGGAGGCGUCCGAGGAGGAGGAGGAACGCUCGAGCGGCCCUGAGCGAGUGAAUCGAGGCGUUGAUUACGGCUUGGGUUGGAGGGUUUGAGUUUUCUAUACAGCGGUAUCUGAUUCCAAUGUAUCUGAUUCCAAUAGAACUCAUAACAAACACAUGUAACGAUAUCAGAUACCCGAAGGAAUCCCAUACCGUUACAUUACAUCGAACCAAACACGUCGCAAGUCAUCAUGGUACCCGGAUGAGUCAUGAGUCACUUGUGGGGUGUUUGGUUUGAGGAAUGAACUAGUCCAUCGUCUUCUCACUCCUCACUAUUUUUGUUUGGUUUGUAGAAUAAAAUAAGUUGAUACAUCAUCAUCUCAUUCCUCAUAGUUAGUUAGUUAGUACUAAUAUGAGAAAUGGAGUCAUCCCACCAAAUCUGAGGAAUGAACCCAUGAUACACCACCUUAAUUUGGAUGGUAUGAUUCCUCAAACCAAACACUCUAUUGAAGUUUCGCCUUGACCCGAUGCCAGUUUGCCUUUACUUUUUGUCUUGAUAUCAGUAGCUCCAUUUAAGUUUCAAGCGUCUAAAAAAACUCUCUUCGGCGACUACAACUUUUCAGUUAAUGACUUCUUUAUUCAAGAUCAUCUAUAAUAUUAAAUAUACAAUAUAAUAUUUAAAAAUUUUGUAGUUGAAAAAAUAGUAUCAAUUGUAUAGUGACAACUAUUAUAUAACUUAACCGGUAUAGAAGCUCGAUGGAACCUUAAGAUAUUGAGUUCAAAUCCAGUAAUCUAGCAGUGUUAUAAUUGAUAGUGAUAAUUUUUUUGAUAAAAAAAUAACUCUUUAAAUGAUGAUUUAGAGAAUAUCUUUAACAUAGACUCUAGAAAAUUUCAUAAAGCUGCCGAUCAAAUAGUCCUGGCUAACUAUAUGAAGCUUUUUGAGAAAUUAUGUAGGGUUAUAAGGUCACACACAAUAAACUUCUAUUUUCUAGUACUUGCAUACUUAAUUAGUUUGUUCUAUAUAAAAUUAUCCUAAAUUUUACCAAAUUUAUAUACACAAUUAUUUGCAUUACAGAAAUAUAUUUCACAAUUCCAUUCAAUAUACUUAUUUUCUAUAAACUUGGUGAAUCUUAUAAUAGUUUAACUUAGAGCAACUUUAAAUGCAUUACGUAAUACUUAUUGGAAUUUGGCCUGUUUAGCGCACUUGUGGGUGGUCCAAACCAUAUAAGAAAUCCAAGGUGGUGUGAGGAAUAACAUCAUGGACUUUAGUCCUACAUUGCUUAUCCAGGUAAGAGAUAACCAAUUUAAAUAUGAGGUUGUGCACUACUCUUCAUAUGUGACACACAAAGGGCUAUAGAGACUGCUAUGAACUGACACACGCGCUCACUCACUUGCAUUUUAGGUUUUUUCGCGAAAUUAACGCGUGGCUUGUGACUUGCAAUGAUGAAUGAUCGCGUCGUGACGUGUUCUAAAUAGCAGUUUAUUUUUUGUCUUUUAUUUAUUUGGUUAUCAAGUACCACACCUAGACUGCCAUGUCAACCGGGAGUAAUUAGGCGCGCACUACGUGAACUCUGUGUGGUUGUACUUAGACAAAUUUGAGAGGGCGAUUACUGUAAUUUAGUAGAUCGAAUCUGGAACAAUUGCGGUGACUCUUCUAUAAAGGGGAGAUGUCCUUUAGACGGAAGGCAUACAUCAAUCAACAUACUUGUCUUCUCAUUCUCAACUCUAUGUGUUACCGUUUCUCUACUCUGUCGUCCCUGCAUUUGCCAUGCAGCAAAUCAAGGAAGACCAGUGUAUUCGAACCAACACCGAUAUUUUGACGACCUGCACGGGCGCUGAGAAAUUAGGUUUCUGGGAAGUGCACCUCGCACGUAUGUUCAUGUUCUUCAAAUCCAGUUGUGGGAAGCAUUGUAAGUAGAUAUGCAAUUUCUGUUUAUCUUGACACGAAUCUUUUGCAUAGAUCUAUUGUUCGUUUGUCUUCUGUUCAUUAAUUGUUAUGGUUUGGUGAAUCUGAUGCUUUUCAAGAGUACAUUACUAAAGCACAUAAUCCUAAAUUUGUGAAGUCUUCUAGGCAAACCACAACUUGAGAUCUAAUUAAGCUUUACAAUGAACGUGUGCUUAAGCUUAUUGAGUCAUUUCAAUCUGUUUCAUCCGUUGCUCUAACUUCUGAUAUCUGGAAUGUUAAAGCUAAAGAAGACUACAUUUCUGUUGUUGCUCACUUUUUGAAUUCCAAUUGGGAGCUAGAAAAAAGGUUGAUUGGUCUUAGGCUCAUAUAUGUGAAACAUUCUGGUAAUAAUUUAGCAGAACAUGUUAAUAUGGUUGCUGAUGAGUGUGGUUUAAGUGAUAAAAUAUUUGCUAUUACUCUAGAAUCUACUUUUAGUUUGGUUGGCAGGGUGAUUGAGGAACGUCGGCGGCGGCUCAUACCAGACAUGGUGGAGGUUCUAUCAUGUAUCAAAGACCGGGAGUUAGCAGAUUUACACAAGCAACACAAUCUUGAGAAUGACACAUAGAAAUAGAAUUUAUCCUUGAAAGCUUGAACAAUGAUGGAGGAGGAGACCAAGAAAGCCAAUCAAGGGCUCAAGAGUUAAGGGUGAACGAGUGAAUUAUUGUAACUUGUAAUCUUGUCCUCUGUCUCUAUCUCUGGUGAAUUGUUGUAUUGAACUAUGAACAUGGUUGCAUACGUUAUAACUUUGAGCUGGCUGUACCUUUUUCCCUUCUUAGGAUUUUCUCACAAGGUAUGAGUUUUUAUCUAGGAAGGUUUCUAAUAAGGCGGCAUUGCAUAAACAACUCUGAGAGUUUUUAUUCUUGUGUGGUCUUUUGUGUUUUUUGUGAAUUCUGUUAUAUACCAGUAUAUAUGUGAUUUUCGGGCCUGUCCAAACCCACCCCUGUACUAAUGAGCUAUCCAAGCCAACGGUACGGCACGACCUAUCUGAGUACCAACCGGACCGUGCUUAGGCCGAAGGGUCAGCACGCUAUGUAAGCCCGGCACGACCCAGAGGUUACCAGUGCCAUGCCUGGCACGCCUCGAAUGGGCCGGGCUGGAGCGGACCGUUUGGAUAUCUAUAAGUCCAAGCAGCUCCAUACAUGUUUACAGGUGCAGCAGUCCGAAUAGCUACAAUAUUGUUGGCUGCCAGCCAGUCGAACAAUAUAGAAAUAUGAUUUAUAAUGACGGUUUUUUAAAAAACCACCAAUAGAAAUAACAUUAAUGUAUGAUAACUAAAACCGUACGUACAAAUUAAACUCCACCAUAGGCUUUCAGUUAUUUUUCUACAAGUGAGGGUUCCGGUACAAUGAGUCAAUGAGCUACAAGCGGUGGUGGGCGCGGGAGGCAGUGCCGUCGUCGAAGUUCUGGUAGUAGCUAUGCAGGUCAUACCCGAACCUCACCGCGGUUCGCCUCGGCCGCGCCGUGCGUCUUCUCCAAGAGCGCCUCAACCUCGACAGCAGCCGCUUCACCGCCGC